Dreissena polymorpha is the source of this 2229-nucleotide long non-coding RNA. RefSeq lists it as uncharacterized. Lineage: Eukaryota; Metazoa; Mollusca; Bivalvia; Myida; Dreissenidae. The record is from RefSeq and is a predicted model, not a curated record. The transcript is spliced from 2 exons.
CAGACCUUUAUUUAAAAAUCGGGGAAUGCUAUUCGAUACCAAUAUAAAUAUUGUUUACUAUUCUGGCAAAAUUCUUGAGAAAAAUCCGAUAUCCUAACCUCAAAGACUUUACAAAGGUGUGUUCUAUGAUGUUGACAAUUAACAAGUCGCAUAUUUUUACGAAAUCAUUACAUUUUUGUACAGAAAAUCCAAUUGUAUAUUCGUUUUUCUAAUAACUAUGCUCGGCUACAAAAAAUAUCGUAACCUCUUCUGAAAAGAAGGCGUUGUACCCGUUGUUUUGAAAAUGUUGUGGUCGCAAGCACACGUUGUGGUCGCAAUUUAUUGUUGUGGUGCUGAUGUGAAAUAAAACAGACGGAUAAUUGAAUCUUUAUUUCUGUCUCUUUGUCUGUCUGUUUCUGUGUCUGUCUGUCUGUCUGUCUGUCUGUCUGUCUGUCUGUCUGUCUGUCUGUCUGUCUGUCUGUCUGUCAAUCUGUCUUUCUCUGUGUAUGUGUGUCUGUCCCUUUGUCCGUCCGUCCGUCCUUGUCCGUCCGUCCGUCUGAUUGUUACUCAAUCUACAUUUUAUCCAGACUGGCUCAUGUUCGAAAUCUGGUGCUGGUGACUUGAGGAAUCACUCUGCAUUUCAUUAAAUAAAUAUAUUGUUAAAUAUAGAAAGCAAAUAACCGAAUCCCUUAAAUUGUUGUGUAUAUGUUCAUCAUUUAGUAUGGUUAUGAAUUUCAUUUAUGUGCUCAUCUCUAUGUGAAGUCGAAUAACAGUAUAAACAUUGACAUAUUUGAAACGCACUUGAUUACAGAGUUAUUUACCUUAUUAACAAAUGCGCUAUUGUGUGCACUGCUGUUUUUUAUGUUGGCACAAUGAGAUUUCCAGAAGACAAACGAGACUUUUAAAGUUAACAUAUCCAUUUUGUUAUAGCAGGUGAAGAUGAAUUACCUCAUUGCCAGGUCUUUUUAAACGCGGCACAGUUUUAAUUUGCUACUAACGUUAUUAUUGGAAUUAAAAAUACAAGUUUAAUACAAAGUCGCAACGUGGAUAUGCCGACAUCAAACAAACGCCAAAAGUGUUUCUGCUACUUCUGUGGAAGGAUUUUUAGUGCAGAAGUCAUAGUCUCGUUCCAUAUCAAAAACAUCCAUGAACAAACAAUUCGCAACUCGCUUUGUCUGCGGUAAAAACAUGUAGCACAGUUUUAAACAUGAAAAGACAUCAACGCGUCGUCCACUUGAAAAAAGGGCCUCAUACGUGUUUUGUAUGCAACAAACAUUUGCUUGCAGGCGAGACAUUAACUAACAUAUGAGCAAGUCUCAUGGCAACGGAUACAAAUACAAGUGUGAAAAUUGGUGCAAGGAGUAUGCGUACAAACGAAGUACUGAACGACACGUGGCUGUGUGUGGCAGACAAAAACCAGAAGUCAUAUGUGAAAAGUUCAAAGAGCAUGUUGGGAAUGAAAUGAGGCCAACGGGCUGUUUGAUUUUAUUUAUGUAACGACUACAUUGUAUGCAUGUUUUAAUUACGUUAAUUGCUUAAUAUGUUUUGCUUCAGUAUAUAUUUUAUAUGUAAUUAAAGACAAUUUGUUUGUUUUUGCUUUAUUUUAAACUGCAUAAACUUAAUGCUAUUGAGAUAAAAAAAAUAUGCUUUAGAUUAAACUGUAUAACAUAUAUGAAAGUUUGCUCAAUAAUUGUAUUUCUUUCCCCUCUGAUAUUUGAUUAAAUUAUCAGUUAAUAAAUUUUAACGUACAUAUCAAAAUGCAAUUCAAGGUUGAAAUUUGACCACACUCGUAGUAAGUUUUUUUGUUUCCACUAACAUUGCCAAAACGUAGGGAAGGUAGGUCAGCGAAACUUUUUUCAUUUGACGUUGUUUACCUGUGCAAGAUAUUUUCAACUAAGCAAGUUCUUCUAAAUGUGUUUUCUGCUCCAAUUAGAAGUUAUUUUGGCACCAGAUUUGCAAAAUUAUCUUUAUAAUACCCAUAGCAAUUAGAUGUAAGAUUUAUCUUACUCUUAUAUAUUUUGUUUUACUUAAAACCGAUAUUUGAAGUUGAAAACUUGAUCAACAUUCUCCUUUGUUGAAGUGAAAUAUGUUCAUAAAGUUUUGGCUAUAGAUGCUGAACUGUAUUUUUAUAAUAUGUAUAGUCUCUUAUAACUCAAUUGUGAGUGGCAUUUAUGUACUAUGUUUUAAAGCUAUUUUAUAUAUGUUUUACUAGGUACAUGAUGAUGAGACUUUAAUAAACUAUCUUAUCUA